RNAcentral lists this ribosomal RNA (468 nucleotides) under uncultured bacterium. RNAcentral describes it as "partial 16S ribosomal RNA". It matches the Rfam family "Bacterial small subunit ribosomal RNA", at positions 28 to 507 of the family's 1533-position model. The record is from RNAcentral.
GACGAACGCUGGCGGCGUGCUUAACACAUGCAAGUCGAACGGAAGGGCCCUGCUUUUGUGGGGUGCUCGAGUGGCGAACGGGUGAGUAACACGUGAGUAACCUGCCCUUGACUUUGGGAUAACUUCAGGAAACUGGGGCUAAUACCGGAUAUGAGCUCCUGCUGCAUGUUGGUCGUUGGAAAGUUUCGGCGGUUGGGGAUGGACUCGCGGCUUAUCAGCUUGUUGGUGGGGUAGUGGCUUACCAAGGCUUUGACGGGUAGCCGGCCUGAGAGGGUGACCGGCCACAUUGGGACUGAGAUACGGACCAGAAUCCUACGGGAGGCAGCAGGGGGGAAUAUUGCAGAAUGGGCGGAUGCCUGAUGCAGCAACGCCGCGUGCGGGAUGACGGCCUUCGGGUUGUAAACCGAUUUCGCCUGUGACGAAGCGUGAGUGACGGUAAUGGGUAAAGAAGCACCGGCUAACUACGUG